UCGGGAAUUUUGGGCAAUGGGCGAAAGCCUGACCCAGCAACGCCGCGUGAAGGAUGAAGUAUUUCGGUAUGUAAACUUCGAAAGAAUAGGAAGAAUAAAUGACGGUACUAUUUAUAAGGUCCGGCUAACUACGUGCCAGCAGCCGCGGUAAUACGUAGGGACCAAGCGUUGUUCGGAUUUACUGGGCGUAAAGGGCGCGUAGGCGGCAAUUCAAGUCAUCUGUGAAAUCUCCGGGCUUAACCCGGAACGGUCAGAUGAUACUGCUUUGCUAGAGUGCAGAAGGGGCAAUCGGAAUUCUUGGUGUAGCGGUGAAAUGCGUAGAUAUCAAGAGGAACACCUGAGGUGAAGACGGGUUGCUGGGCUGACACUGACGCUGAGGCGCGAAAGCCAGGGGAGCAAACGGGAUUAGAUACCCGAGUAGUCCCUGAGCGGGCUGGCAAGGCGCAU
RNAcentral lists this ribosomal RNA (447 nucleotides) under uncultured bacterium. Its description in RNAcentral is "bacterial SSU rRNA". It matches the Rfam family "Bacterial small subunit ribosomal RNA", at positions 355 to 825 of the family's 1533-position model. The record is from RNAcentral.